AUCGGCAACGGUGCUGGCUCCCGUUGGUGCGCGAUGCUCCGGAUGAAUCCUCGUGGUUCAUCGGCGAGGGCACACCACCUUCGGCUUGAACGUUCCGGCAUCGUAGUCGUGCACUUCUCCCCUAGUAGAACGUCGCGACCCGUUGUGUGUCGGUCUACGGCCCGAGAGGGCGCCUGUCGCGUCGCUUCGCGCGCACGCGGCAGACCCUCGGUCGCCUGGCCGGCUGCACGACGGUACUCGCACGGUAUCGGGCCGCAACCAAUCCAUUUUUUCGAAUGUGUGUGCGUCAGGCCCGCCGCAAGCUCGGUCAGUUCUUACCC
This 320-nucleotide ribosomal RNA is filed under the name Apis dorsata (giant honeybee). RNAcentral describes it as "eukaryotic LSU rRNA". The record is from RNAcentral. Lineage: Eukaryota; Metazoa; Arthropoda; Insecta; Hymenoptera; Apidae.